Molecule: non-coding RNA, 145 nt
Organism: Otolemur garnettii (small-eared galago)
Lineage: Eukaryota; Metazoa; Chordata; Mammalia; Primates; Galagidae
Source: Rfam
GCCGGGCGUUGUGGCGGGCGCCUGUGGUCCCAGCUACUCGGGAGGCUGAGGCAGGAGACUCACUUGAGCCCAGGAGUUGGAGGUUGCUGUGAGCAGUGAUGCCACAGCACUCUACCCAGGGCGACAGCUUGAGCCUCUGUCUCAA